RNAcentral lists this long non-coding RNA (1211 nucleotides) under Daphnia pulex (common water flea). Its description in RNAcentral is "uncharacterized LOC124199899, transcript variant X6". Lineage: Eukaryota; Metazoa; Arthropoda; Branchiopoda; Diplostraca; Daphniidae. The record is from RNAcentral.
GUAACGUUGUUUAUUAAACAGACCGUCCGAUACAAACUCUUAGUUAGUACUAUUGCUCAAAAACUGAUUCUCUUGAAUCAGCAGACUCGAGUGUUUAUAGCGCCGCCAAGAAGCUGUGUUGUGUGUGUUGAUCGUCUCCACCAUGCACGCGAUAAUCAAGACCAGCAACGUCUUGAUCAAGAAGAAGAAAAGAACGGAGAAGCAAAGAACGACGAUGUAAAUAGCGGGAACAGUUUUCCAUACUGGUACGCUGUAUGACGUCGAGCAUUGCCAAAAUGGAAGUGCUCUUUGAAGAACUGAGCGUCUAAAUCUUCUUCAGUCAGAUGAAGCUAACGGAUUCGGAAAUCGUCGAAGAAGCAGAGGACAUCACAGCUAAAAAAAAAACACUGCUUUUAAAUUAUCUAUCAGGGAAGCCCUAAUAAGAGGUCCAAGAGAAAUUUAUUCGGGUUAACUGAUACCAUGCCACGUACUAAAUCGUUAAUGGUUUUCAGGUAAAAAAUAACCAUGGGAAUAUGGGGUCGCAGAAAUAGAUGUCACUGGUGGAAAAUAAGAAGGUGAUAUGGUAUUUUUCUUUUCUACUGUCUGAUUUUUAAAGAUUUGGUGAGGAACAUCCAAUCUGUCGAUCGCGGUCGCUAACCAAUUGUUAGAAAAACAGCACCAAUAAUGGUCGAACUCGGAUGUGCUUUAUUCGAGAUUUUAACACAAAUUGCAUUUUAUACAUAAAAAAAUUUAUCAUAAAGCUACAAUGUUACAGCAUUACCCGUACUAUGGCUCGUCCCGGUUUGUAUUGCUUUGUAUAAUCUUUAGUUGAACGCUAAAUUAAUUAGAGGCUAGCUAAGAGAAUUUGGCUAGAUCUUUACAAGAUUAGUGAAUGUGAUUUUUUAAAGAAAUUGUGCCUGUUGCACAUCAUCGAUAUUAUUGGCCUUGAUUCUUAAAGGUGGCUUGGCUAAACUUUCGACGGUUAAACUCUAUUUAAUAAAGAGAUAAUAUAACAUUUAGCUAAUGAUCUUGCAUUCUUGACUAAAUAUUUUCAGGCAACUUUUGAAGUUUUUGUGGGCACUGAUUUGCAGAGUGCUCGUGACCAACAGAUAAAAUGGCCCAAUCCAUAUUGCAAAUUUGCAAGCUGUCUUCCAAAACCAUCCAAAACCAAGGAAUUUCUAUUUGCAAGGUAAUUAUUUCAACCAGCAAUGUUUCUUUUAAUUACUGUGGUA